RNAcentral lists this ribosomal RNA (365 nucleotides) under uncultured bacterium. Its description in RNAcentral is "bacterial SSU rRNA". It matches the Rfam family "Bacterial small subunit ribosomal RNA", at positions 152 to 507 of the family's 1533-position model. The record is from RNAcentral.
GGAAACAGAUGCUAAUACCGCAUAAACCUAACACCGCAUGGUGUAGGUUGAAGAUGGUUUCGGCUAUCACUUUAGGAUGGACCCGCGGUGCAUUAGUUAGUUGGUGAGGUAAAGGCUCACCAAGACCGUGAUGCAUAGCCGACCUGAGAGGUAAUCGGCCACACUGGGACUGAGACACGGCCCAGACUCCUACGGGAGGCAGCAGUAGGGAAUCUUCCACAAUGGACGAAAGUCUGAUGGAGCAACGCCGCGUGAGUGAAGAAGGUUUUCGGAUCGUAAAACUCUGUUGUUGGAGAAGAAUGUAUCUGAUAGUAACUGAUCAGGUAGUGACGGUAUCCAACCAGAAAGCCACGGCUAACUACGUG